This is a long non-coding RNA of Mytilus trossulus (common blue mussel), 627 nucleotides long. RefSeq lists it as uncharacterized. Lineage: Eukaryota; Metazoa; Mollusca; Bivalvia; Mytilida; Mytilidae. The transcript is spliced from 3 exons. The record is from RefSeq and is a predicted model, not a curated record.
UUGUCGAUUUUGCAAUAAAUAUGCAUCAUUCUUCGGUAUUUCGUGUCUUUUUUAACGUAUUACUAAAUUUGAAACGGGAAUAUUGACGUGUUUUGUCAUAGUUAAGCCGCCUAAGAGAGAAAUCAGCAAUCCAAAAAAACGCGAUGAUAAGGGUAACUGAUAAAAAUUUAUUGACGUUGAUAUGCGUAACUGGAAAUAUUGAUAUCCGUAACUGAUUAUUUUCUAAACAAUUAUCAUUCUCGUUUGAAAUUAAAUAAUAGUCUGUCGUUAUCGCGAUCGGUAUCAGAAAUGUUUCCAAAGUCUUUACAAACAUUGUGAGAAAAUAUAUUGACCAUGUGACCAAUUCUGUAUUUUUAUAUAGCCAACAGCAUGCCUAGUGAGUUUGAAGAUGGAUCUUUGGUUGUGAACAAAGUACUGCAGCUGUCGAUGGGUCCAUCCUGGUUUUGACAACACCACAGGCAAAAAGCACACCUAACUUGAUAGAUUCGUCAGCUAAAUAUGUGUGUGACAUCUGUGGUAAACAUUACCGGUCCAAACAGGGGAUGUUGGACCAUAUGAAGAGAGAGCAUGGGACACCAAAUUUCACCUGCACCCAGUGCCAAAAAAAAUUUAUAUCCCGCACUUUGU